This 1140-nucleotide ribosomal RNA is filed under the name uncultured Symbiobacterium sp. Its description in RNAcentral is "bacterial SSU rRNA". It matches the Rfam family "Bacterial small subunit ribosomal RNA", at positions 152 to 1273 of the family's 1533-position model. The record is from RNAcentral. Lineage: Bacteria; Bacillati; Bacillota; Clostridia; Eubacteriales; Symbiobacteriaceae.
CGAAAGGCUGCUAAUACCGGAUAAGCUCACGGCCCCGCAUGGGGCUGGGAGAAAAGGCGCUAGAGCGAUUGGCGCUGGCAGAGGAGGGGUCCGCGGCCCAUUAGCUAGUUGGUGAGGUAACGGCUCACCAAGGCGACGAUGGGUAGCCGGCCUGAGAGGGCGACCGGCCACACUGGGACUGAGACACGGCCCAGACUCCUACGGGAGGCAGCAGUCGGGAAUUUUGCACAAUGGCCGAAAGGCUGAUGCAGCAACGCCGCGUGAACGAGGAAGGCCUUCGGGUUGUAAAGCUCUGUUGCCUGCGAAGAAGGGCCCUGUCAGGAAAUGGGCAGGGUUUGACGGUAGCAGGCGAGGAAGCCCCGGCUAACUACGUGCCAGCAGCCGCGGUAAUACGUAGGGGGCGAGCGUUGUCCGGAAUUACUGGGCGUAAAGGGCGUGUAGGCGGCCUGUUAAGUCAGGGGUGAAACUCCGGGGCUCAACCCCGGGCGUGCCUCUGAAACUGAUGGGCUUGAGUGCUCUAGAGGGCAGUGGAAUUCCCGGUGUAGCAGUGAAAUGCGUAGAGAUCGGGAGGAACACCAGUGGCGAAGGCGGCUGCCUGGGGAGUAACUGACGCUGAGGCGCGAAAGCUAGGGGGAGCAAACAGGAUUAGAUACCCUGGUAGUCCUAGCCGUAAACGAUGAGUGCUAUGUGUGAGGGGUAUCGACCCCCCUCGUGCAGUAGUUAACGCAAUAAGCACUCCGCCUGGGGAGUACGGCCGCAAGGCUGAAACUCAAAGGAAUUGGCGGGGGCCCGCACAAGCGGUGGAGCAUGUGGUUUAAUUCGAAGCAACGCGAAGAACCUUACCAGGUCUUGACAUCCCUUGACAACCCAAGAGAUUGGGCGUUCCUUCGGGGGACAAGGUGACAGGUGGUGCAUGGUUGUCGUCAGCUCGUGUCGUGAGAUGUUGGGUUAAGUCCCGCAACGAGCGCAACCCUUGACCUUAGUUGCCAGCAUUGAGUUGGGCACUCUAAGGUGACUGCCGAUGACAAAUCGGAGGAAGGUGGGGAUGACGUCAAAUCAUCAUGCCCCUUAUGACCUGGGCUACACACGUGCUACAAUGGGCGGUACAAAGGGUUGCAAACCCGCGAGGGGGAGCCAAUC